This 234-nucleotide ribosomal RNA is filed under the name uncultured bacterium. RNAcentral describes it as "partial 16S ribosomal RNA". It matches the Rfam family "Bacterial small subunit ribosomal RNA", at positions 118 to 347 of the family's 1533-position model. The record is from RNAcentral.
UGAGCAAUCUGCCCUUCUCAUCGGAAUAAGCGUUGGAAACGACGUCUAAUGCCGAAUACGACCUCCUUUCGCAUGAUCGGAGGUGGAAAGCUCCGGCGGAGAAGGAUGAGCUCGCGGCCUAUCAGCUAGUUGGUGUGGGUAAUGGCCCACCAAGGCGAACGACGGGUAGCCGGCCUGAGAGGGUGACCGGCCACACUGGGACUGAGACACGGCCCAGACUCCGUACGGGAGCAG